UUUUAUGGAGAGUUUGAUCCUGGCUCAGAGUGAACGCUGGCGGCGUGCCUAAUACAUGCAAGUCGAACGAUGAAGCUUCUAGCUUGCUAGAGUGCUGAUUAGUGGCGCACGGGUGAGUAACGCAUAGGUCAUGUGCCUCUUAGUUUGGGAUAGCCAUUGGAAACGAUGAUUAAUACCAGAUACUCCCUACGGGGGAAAGAUUUAUCGCUAAGAGAUCAGCCUAUGUCCUAUCAGCUUGUUGGUAAGGUAAUGGCUUACCAAGGCUAUGACGGGUAUCCGGCCUGAGAGGGUGAACGGACACACUGGAACUGAGACACGGUCCAGACUCCUACGGGAGGCAGCAGUAGGGAAUAUUGCUCAAUGGGGGAAACCCUGAAGCAGCAACGCCGCGUGGAGGAUGAAGGUUUUAGGAUUGUAAACUCCUUUUGUUAGAGAAGAUAAUGACGGUAUCUAACGAAUAAGCACCGGCUAACUCCGUGCCAGCAGCCGCGGUAAUACGGAGGGUGCAAGCGUUACUCGGAAUCACUGGGCGUAAAGAGCGCGUAGGCGGGAUAGUCAGUCAGGUGUGAAAUCCUAUGGCUUAACCAUAGAACUGCAUUUGAAACUACUAUUCUAGAGUGUGGGAGAGGUAGGUGGAAUUCUUGGUGUAGGGGUAAAAUCCGUAGAGAUCAAGAGGAAUACUCAUUGCGAAGGCGACCUGCUGGAACAUUACUGACGCUGAUUGUGCGAAAGCGUGGGGAGCAAACAGGAUUAGAUACCCUGGUAGUCCACGCCCUAAACGAUGGAUGCUAGUUGUUGGAGGGCUUAGUCUCUCCAGUAAUGCAGCUAACGCAUUAAGCAUCCCGCCUGGGGAGUACGGUCGCAAGAUUAAAACUCAAAGGAAUAGACGGGGACCCGCACAAGCGGUGGAGCAUGUGGUUUAAUUCGAAGAUACACGAAGAACCUUACCUAGGCUUGACAUUGAGAGAAUCCGCUAGAAAUAGUGGAGUGUCUGGCUUGCCAGACCUUGAAAACAGGUGCUGCACGGCUGUCGUCAGCUCGUGUCGUGAGAUGUUGGGUUAAGUCCCGCAACGAGCGCAACCCCCUUUCUUAGUUGCUAACAGGUUAUGCUGAGAACUCUAAGGAUACUGCCUCCGUAAGGAGGAGGAAGGUGGGGACGACGUCAAGUCAUCAUGGCCCUUACGCCUAGGGCUACACACGUGCUACAAUGGGGUGCACAAAGAGAAGCAAUACUGCGAAGUGGAGCCAAUCUUCAAAACACCUCUCAGUUCGGAUUGUAGGCUGCAACUCGCCUGCAUGAAGCUGGAAUCGCUAGUAAUCGCAAAUCAGCCAUGUUGCGGUGAAUACGUUCCCGGGUCUUGUACUCACCGCCCGUCACACCAUGGGAGUUGUGUUUGCCUUAAGUCAGGAUGCUAAAUUGGCUACUGCCCACGGCACACACAGCGACUGGGGUGAAGUCGUAACAAGGUAACCGUAGGUGAACCUGCGGUUGGAUCACCUCCUUUCUAGA
RNAcentral lists this ribosomal RNA (1510 nucleotides) under Helicobacter pylori. Its description in RNAcentral is "bacterial SSU rRNA". It matches the Rfam family "Bacterial small subunit ribosomal RNA". The record is from RNAcentral. Lineage: Bacteria; Pseudomonadati; Campylobacterota; Epsilonproteobacteria; Campylobacterales; Helicobacteraceae.